GCGUGAGACUCGAUCUGACUCUCUUCUGCUGGGAUUGAGCUCUUCUGGAAACUGGACUUUAGAGAAAUGAUGCUGAUCUUUGGACUGAUGCUGCUGCUGCAAACUGCUGCAUGUGUGGAGUGGAACUGCAGUUUUAAUCAAUCAUAUCCCUGUUACGCAGCCCUGGGAGACAAACUCAAUCUGCUGAUGGUCCGGGAUGCCAGUGAAUAUGACCUGAAUUUAAAAAAGAGAAUAAACAACACACAAGAUGAUCAAGUUUGUAGAGUAAAAUAUGGCAGGAUAAAGGAAUGUGAUCUUUAUAAUAACAGAACUGAAGUGACAGUCAUUAAUGGGACUGUGAUAAUAAACCGUGUGAUCAGAGCAGAUUCUGGAAAUUACAGAUUAACACUCACCGAACACUCAGGUGGCACAGAAACAUCUAGAGAUCUUCAAGUGAUUGUUGAAGCUCCAGUUGCCUCAGUGGAAGUGUCAAUCAGCUGCUCCUCCAAUCAGAGGUCAGUGUCCUGCUCCUCAGAGGGGGAUCAGCUCCUCUACAGCUGGACUCUGAAUGGAGAUCCACUGAUGGAUGGAAACAGCAGCAUUGAUCUGGAUGAGGGAACUGAUGGAAACAUCAGCUGCAGCGUGAAGAACCACGUCAGUCACGUACAGAAGACCAUUAGAAUCAAAACCUGUCCUGGUCCAGAUCGUUUUUGCAGUUUUUAUCAAUCAGAUUCCUGUUACGCAGCUGUGGGAGACGAUCUUAAUCUACUGAUGGUGCGGGAUGCUCGAGAUCAAGAGCUGCAUUUGUAUAAGGAGUUAAUGGAUAGCAGAGAACUGGAAGUUUUUAGAAUAAAGAACAAAAAAGAGAAAAAACAUGAAUCCAUCAGAAACAGAUCUGAGUUCAUCUUUGAUAAUGGGACUCUGAUAAUAAACCGUGUGAUCAGAGCAGAUUCAGGGAAUUACAGAUUAGAAUUCUAUCACUCAGACGGUUUAAGACCGUUUAAAAAGCUUCUUCGUAUUAAUAUUGAAGCUCCUACUGGCUCAGUGGAAAUGUCAAUCAGCUGCUCCUCCAAUCAGAGGUCAGUGUCCUGCUCCUCUGAGGGCGAUCAGAUCAUCUACAGCUGGACUUUGAAUGGAGAAAUACUAGAACAAGGACCAAUGGAUGGAAUCACCACCAUUCAGCUAAAUGAGGAAACUGAUGGAAACAUCAGCUGCAGUGUCAAGAACCACAUCAGUCACGCACAGAAGACAAUUAAAGUCAAACCCUGUCCUGGUCUGGAUCGGUUCUGCAGUUUUGGUCAAUCUGAUCCCUGUUAUGCAACUCUGGGAGACAAACUCAAUCUGUUGAUGGUGCGGGACACUAGAGAAUAUGAUCUGAAGAUACAUAAGAGGAUAUACAACACACAAGAUGAUCCAUUGUGUAGAGUAAAGAAUGACAGGAUGAGGAUGAGUGAUUGUGAUCUUUAUAAUAACAGACCUGAAGUGAACAUCAUUAAUGGGACUGUGAUAAUAAACCGUGUGAUCAGAGCAGAUUCUGGGAAUUACAGAUUAAGACUCACUGACUCAGACGGCACAGAAACAUCUAGAGAUCUUCAAGUGAUUGUUGAAGCUCCUAUUGGCUCAGUGGAAGUGUCAAUCAGCUGCUCCUCCAAUCAGAGGUCAGUGUCCUGCUCAUCUGACGGGGAUCACAUCAUCUACAGCUGGACUCUGAAUGGAGAAAUACUAGAACAAGGACCAAUGAAUGGAAACACCACCAUUCAGCUAAAUGAGGGAACUGAUGGAGACAUCAGCUGCAGCGUGAAGAACCACGUCAGUCACACACAGAAGAAUAUUAGACUCAAACCCUGUCCUGGUCUGGACCGGUUCUGCAGUUUUGGUCAAUCUGAUCCCUGUUACGCAACUCUGGGAGACAAACUCAAUCUGCUGAUGGUUCAGCACACUAUAGAAUAUGAUCUGAAGAUACGUAAGAGGAUAUACAACACACAAGAUGAUCCAGUUUGUAGAGUAAAGAAUGACAGUAUGAGGAUGAGUGAAUGUGAUCUUUAUAAUAACAGACCUGAAGUGAACAUCAUUGAUGGGACUGUGAUAAUAAACCGUGUGAUCAGAGCAGAUUCUGGGAAUUACAGAUUAACACUCACUGACUCAGACGGCACAGAAACAUCUAGAGAUCUUCAAGUGAUUGUUGAAGUGUGUUCAGUUUCUGUGGUGUUUGUUCUGGUCUGGUGUCUCCAGAUGAUGGUUCUGUUCGGUCUGUUAGGAGGUUUUCACAUCUACAUGAGACACACGUCAGGAAAGAAACAGAAGGACCAGAAAGUGAGAAUGAGAAGAUUUAGAGAGAGACAUGAACACACAGCAGAAGAUUCAUGAGAGCAGCAGCAGAUCUUCACAUCUGUGAGAAAUGAGUUCAGAAUCAGUCCAGCUUUCACCUGUCAACAACAGAUCUUAUAUAAAACCAAGAGAUUCAUUAAACCUGGAGAUAUGAAUUAACCAGAUUUUCUACAGUUUUAGUUAUGAAGAUUAUUUUCUGGACAGCUGUGUUUUGUAAUAUUUUUAUUGCUUAUUUUAUUCAUUUGUCUUUCCUCUUUGAAUGAACUAGCAGUAUUUUUAUGUCAUUAUAUGAAACUCCUUCUGUUCAUCUGUGAUCAAACUCUUUUAUUUCUCUGAAUCAGAUCUGUCAGAUCC
Molecule: long non-coding RNA, 2661 nt
Organism: Cyprinus carpio carpio
Lineage: Eukaryota; Metazoa; Chordata; Actinopteri; Cypriniformes; Cyprinidae
Source: Ensembl